GGGCAUGUGUCUCAGUGGAGGAGUACUUGCCUGGCAUGCAUGAGGUCCUGGGUUUGAUCCCUAGCACCCA
Molecule: transfer RNA, 70 nt
Filed under: Marmota monax (woodchuck)
Lineage: Eukaryota; Metazoa; Chordata; Mammalia; Rodentia; Sciuridae
Rfam family: tRNA
About the family: Transfer RNA (tRNA) molecules are approximately 80 nucleotides in length. Their secondary structure includes four short double-helical elements and three loops (D, anti-codon, and T loops).
Source: Rfam by way of RNAcentral